Molecule: long non-coding RNA, 831 nt
Organism: Anser brachyrhynchus (Pink-footed goose)
Lineage: Eukaryota; Metazoa; Chordata; Aves; Anseriformes; Anatidae
Source: Ensembl
CAACUGUCACAGGAGUGCGCAGCACAAGACUUGAAAGCUCCCUUAAGACUCCCCACUAAGUCCAGUCUUGCAUAUGCACCAGAGAAGUAAAGGACUCUUCUAAGCCUGAGCAGUAACAAGAAGCAAGUCAAGAGUGUUUACAGGAGCGAUGGAUACAUAAGGAGACUUGGGCAUGUUUUCAUCUGAAAGAGGCCUUGUUCUUAGCCCAAUCAUUGAACAGGCACAACCUUUGAAAUGCAGACUUGACAGGCAGAGCUGGAAUAUCUACUUCCCUUCCCGGGGCAGCUCCUGCGAGCGCGAGGCCUGCCUGCCCCAACAGGCCCGGCUCUGCCGGCUGGCUCCGAGGGGCACGGCGCACCUCAGAGCUGGGCGCUGCUCGGGCGGCCUGCCCGGCUGCUACGGGCUCGCAGGUGGCACAGGAGGCGUCACCCGUGUGGGCUUAAUUCUAAGAUAGGGACAGAGGCCGUAAACUGCCUGUAAAAACGCCGAGAAGCGUAGAAACGCUCUAUGACUACAUAUCCCCUAGCGGCAUCUACCACAUGUUUCUGCAUGGCUUCACGAUGCGGCUCCGUUGCACAAGUUUGAGCAGAUCAAACUUAUUUUAUUUGUCUCACACUUCAUUAGAAGGUUUCAUUGGAUAAAGUUUUUCGUAGUUUAUCUUUGAGGUGGCACAGGAAGCAACAGGUUGUGUGGGUCACCUGCACUGACAAAGAUGAAAAUAGGGCUGGUAGAACAGCAGCUUCAUGCACGGGUUUGCUUUUGCCCUUUUUGAUCCGUUCAUAAAUCCUGUUGUGAAAUAAAAUGCAGAGUUUGGAAAAGUUGGUCUUCGCA